GUAAACUUUCAGUCUGAGACUGCCUGA
This 27-nucleotide non-coding RNA is filed under the name Cricetulus griseus (Chinese hamster). Lineage: Eukaryota; Metazoa; Chordata; Mammalia; Rodentia; Cricetidae. The record is from RNAcentral.